Molecule: long non-coding RNA, 3908 nt
Organism: Acinonyx jubatus (cheetah)
Lineage: Eukaryota; Metazoa; Chordata; Mammalia; Carnivora; Felidae
Exons: 3
Source: RefSeq, a predicted model, not a curated record
GUUUGAAACAGCCCAUAACGUGCAUCCGCUGUUUGGCGGGUCAGGUCCUAAACUUGAGCCUGUCAUCGGCUCAGAUGGGGUUUCUGGGGGAUCAGGGUCACCACGUUUCCUUGUCUGGAGAGUUCCGGUCACGACAGCACUGCUCAGUUCUUCGCAAGUGCAGGAGAGACGGAGAUGCUGUGCUGCUCAUGUGUGUAGUCAUUCGAGGCUCACACAGGCCAUCCAAACUGGAGCUGAGAAUGCCAAGGAAACCCCCCACCAGCUUCUUGUCUGGUUUUCCGCCUGUGUCCCUGGGGCAUACAAGGCAUCGCUUCACAUGCAGAGAGCAGGCAGGGGGAGGGAAGUUGGCCAGCGGUGGCCUCCUUCUGUGGUAGGUGAGGACUGACCGGCAAAGUGUCACCUUCCGGCCCAGGAACAGACUUUACCGGGUUGGCAGAUUGUUUCCUUCCAAACACAGAAGCGGGAGUCCUGGGAGUCCGGGCGGCAGCCCAGGUCCCCACGACCCGACCCUCGGAGCGGUUAUUUGAGAGAGAAUCUGCGUGGUUAGGAGUGGAGCUCAUCUUGCAGAGUCCCCAGGCUUCCCGGAGACAAAGCCCCGCGUUCUGUAAGCCUCACCUGGGGCCUGUCUGCGCGGAGAGUGGCCAGGUCCGGGGCUGGCCACAGUGCCAGCUCCCCCUGCUUCCACGGGAGCCCCAGAACAGGGCUUCAAUCCAUUCUAGUCAGAACACGGGAGUCUCCGCGUCAGGAACGACACAAUUGCUUCGAUUCCGUUCUUGCCAGGACACCUGGGCGUCGGCCGUCGGGUGAGGCACUAAAUCUGCAGUCCACGCCCCGCGCCUCUGCCCUCAGCGUGUCCUGAAAGCGGUGCGGUUGGGCUGUUCCAGGAUUAACACCUCCUUGGGCUACUGGUUCCCACGGACUCACCUGGGAGGCUCCAGCCAGGACGGAGCUCUGUGUCCGGUCAGCUCUGCCCCGGGCCCGCCUCCCCGCCUGCACACGGGCGCAGAAACACCGCAAGGCAGAAUUACUUGGGUAAGUCCAAGGAGAGGCCGGAAGGCUACGCAAAACCCUGCGACAUGCCGGACGUCGGCGAGUUUCAACCAAGUGGAGAUGUUUAUCCUGGAUUAGAGACGUUUGAGAAGUAAUGAAAUUAUGGAACUCGAGUGUUUGGACAGCUCCGUCUCGGCUGCACAGCGGGCCCUCCUGCCCAUCCCGGAAACUCUGAGUUAUCGAUCAGGAGGGUCUGCCUGGCUACCAGCGGCCGGUCCUUCACGGAGCCUGAGUCGUCGCGACGGGCGGGCUCGGGCCGAGGCGCCGUGUUCCCAUCAGAGCGGCCAGGCAAGAACUGAGGCGGCGUGUGACGCGGCGUUUUCUCUUCUGAAAUCCGUCAGACGGAUGAAGUGGGGCAGCGGGCUGUGUUCUCCAGUGGUUUCUGCCCCGAAGGCUCAUGGAACUCACACUUUCAGAUGCCGCCUGGUUUGAGGCUUUUAAUCCAAAGUAAAUCUUUGCACUUACUGCCUCUGUCAAGGCCAAUACCUGCGUGAGGCACGGUCCCGGUUUCUGUGCGGAGGACGUGCCGCGUGUUCGGCGAAGGACUUCAGCACGGGGCCUGCCGCGAGCAGGACGUCGGUGCCCACCCACGUCUGCUCCUUUCGGCUCUGCGACUUUUCACGCACCAGAUUAGCAACAUAAAAGACAGACGCUAGAUUUUCCUCUAAGAUUGCCUUCACCUCUGAAAGCGUAUGACUCACCUGGAAGCGGGUACGGGGACUACAGGAAGGGUUUAGUCAGGGGGCGCGGCCAGCGACACGGGCGUGAAAAUGCUUCAUACCCGGGGUCUUCAAGUGUCACGACAUUAGUCUUCCUUAGGCUUCAGGACCAGAUCGUGCUGCGAAAGAUGAGCUCAGGGAGGGAAAUCAAGGGCGGAUGCAAAGUGACUCCAUAUCGACCGCGUGGCUUGUACGCGAUGCGUUGUUUGCGCCAUGAAGUGGCCGUGUUGUUGUAUGUGUCAUGCGUGUGCGCACGUCAGUCCGUGUGCCGAAGCACGAUCGUGUUGUUGUCCCCACUUGGCAGAUGGUAAAACCAAGGUGCAGACAGAGCAGAUGAUUCAGCUGAGGUUACGUGACUAGUAACCGGUCCGCCGGCGUGGGCCUCCGCCUCGUCUGCGCUGCGAUCACAGCGGGACUGUUGGUCUUACCACUUUGACUUCCUCCUGGCUUCCGAGUCUCGUUUACGAGGCUAAGGGGAAGAGGGGGCUGGAGAGCUCGCCUUUCCAUUAUUUGCCGGCCACCAAACAGACCAAAUUCGGAAAUGUCACAGGACGAGGGGGUUAGUCCUGGGUUGAGCGAGAUCUACACCAGCACACUGUGCCGCGCACGUCAAGAAAGGCAGUUUGAGCCGGCCGCGCACCAGUGGUUCCCACGUUGCCGUGGGCUGACUUUGCUGCCUGGUCGCAUUCGAGGAAGUUGGGGAAGAAUGGCAGUGUGGGUUAUCAUCUUCAAAUCUUGCUUCAGGAGACACUGGAGAGUCUCAUUUCUACAUUCCUUCGUCUGCUGGAGGACGCUGAACAGUAGUUUCUUUGUGAAGGAAUUUCAGACCUUUCCCCCCACCACAGAGAUCUCCCCAAGCACACAAAAAGGUAAAUCCUGGCACCUUUCACGCAUAGAGACAAACAGUGGCUGUGCCAGAGUCUGGCGUGGCUUUUCCACGCACAAGCACGUGUUCUCAGGGGCAGGAAUCCAAGUCUGUCACGAGUAAAUGAUGAAUUCCUCUCUUCAUUCCAGUGGCACAUCUGGGUUUUGUCUCCCUUCACGACUGUUCUGUUAGGUGAAGUGUCCGUGAAGACGGACGGCCGUCUCCAGGAGUUACGAAAGUGGAUUCCCCAUAGUCCGUGGUUCCUCUCUUGGCGUUCCUGUGGCGUCCUCGUUGCCUCCAGCGGCAGGGACGGAGACUGGGCCCCUCUCACGGGUGCACCUCCCUCUGCUCCCCGGGGGCCGGCCAGCCUCCCGCCGGGAAGCCCGGAGGAAUGGGUCAGACCACAGGCGGGCUUCAGGGCUGAUGUCCAGCACAGCCACGUUUGGUGGCCUCACCUUGCAUUUCAACCUGGAGCUCCUCCUCUCUAAGCAGUGCUUCUUUAUCCUCUCCUUCAGCUGUACGUGGAGCUCACAUGCAGAAUCUGGAGUUAUACGUGGCUCUUCCCAUGUUCUCCCCACCGUGGAGGGGACGUAUGCCGGCUUGUCCUAGAGGAGGGUGGUAUUUACACUAUAGAAACGAUAGCGCUUCCCAUGUGCCGGCAGAGUUCUAGACUCGUUCUCAGGCCCUUGAAGUGGACGCUGUGAUUAUCCCCAUCUUAGGAUGAAGACACCAAGGCACCUGAGGUUGCACGAGGUGGUGUGAGUGCAGCCUGGCCAAGCCGUUCUGAGCUCUGUGUCUUCUAUUACUGAUGGGGAAAGUAGGAAGGUUCCAGAGAGGCUUGAGUUUGGGGAAAAGUGGCUACUUUCAAACCUGUUGUUUAGACAACAAAAUCUUGUAGGCAGAGCUGUGUGAUCUGCCCUGCCUGCUGCACGCUCGGGAGGUGGUCCUCGGUGAGCAAGAAAAGGUCCCAGUGCUUGGGAAAAUGUGGAGAAAAAGGAGUCUAGACAUUUGGAAACAUGCCUCCAAGUGGAGGAAGUCAGGACACGUGGAGCCUGCAUGAGGUUUGAGGAUGACGAGCAAACAUGAAGCGAUUUAGCAACAUGUGUUGUUAGAGCUGGAUUUCACUUAGGUGUGCACCAAGCACGAGCGCCCAGGUGUGCACCAAGCACGAGCGCCUAGGUGUUUACCAAGCACGAGCACCCAGGUGUGCACCAAGCACGAGCACCUAGGUGUCUACCAAGCACGAGUGCCCAGGUGUGUACCAAGCACGAGCG